GGUUAAGCGACUAAGCGUACACGGUGGAUGCCCUGGCAGUCAGAGGCGAUGAAGGGCGUGCUAAUCUGCGAUAAGCGCCGGUAAGGUGAUAUGAACCGUUAUAACCGGCGAUACCCGAAUGGGGAAACCCAGUGUGACUCGUCACACUAUCAUUAACUGAAUCCAUAGGUUAAUGAGGCGAACCGGGGAACUGAAACAUCUAAGUACCCCGAGGAAAAGAAAUCAACCGAGAUUCCCCCAGUAGCGGCGAGCGAACGGGGAGGAGCCCAGAGCCUGAAUCAGCAUGUGUGUUAGUGGAAGCGUCUGGAAAGGCGCGCGAUACAGGGUGACAGCCCCGUACACAAAAGCGCAUGUGCUGUGAGCUCGAUGAGUAGGGCGGGACACGUGGUAUCCUGUCUGAAUAUGGGGGGACCAUCCUCCAAGGCUAAAUACUCCUGACUGACCGAUAGUGAACCAGUACCGUGAGGGAAAGGCGAAAAGAACCCCGGCGAGGGGAGUGAAAAAGAACCUGAAACCGUGUACGUACAAGCAGUGGGAGCCCCACCACCAAAGCAUUUGCUGUACCGCGUUGACGGAGCGAAGCGACGUCAAACCGAUAAAACAGCAGUGUAAAGUGAGCCGCAGGGCGCUUUGCGCGACAGCGCAAAGGCAGGCGGUUUCGCGUAGCGAAAGCGAAUGCUUUGGGGUGGGGUGACUGCGUACCUUUUGUAUAAUGGGUCAGCGACUUAUAUUCUGUAGCAAGGUUAACCGAAUAGGGGAGCCGGAGGGAAACCGAGUCUUAAUUGGGCGUUAAGUUGCAGGGUAUAGACCCGAAACCCGGUGAUCUAGCCAUGGGCAGGUUGAAGGGUGGGUAACACUAACUGGAGGACCGAACCGACUAAUGUUGAAAAAUUAGCGGAUGACCUGUGGCUGGGGGUGAAAGGCCAAUCAAACCGGGAGAUAGCUGGUUCUCCCCGAAAGCUAUUUAGGUAGCGCCUCGUGAAUUCAUCUCCGGGGGUAGAGCACUGUUUCGGCUAGGGGGCCAUCCCGGCUUACCAACCCGAUGCAAACUGCGAAUACCGGAGAAUGUUAUCACGGGAGACACACGGCGGGUGCUAACGUCCGUCGUGAAGAGGGAAACAACCCAGACCGCCAGCUAAGGUCCCAAAGUCAUGGUUAAGUGGGAAACGAUGUGGGAAGGCCCAGACAGCCAGGAUGUUGGCUUAGAAGCAGCCAUCAUUUAAAGAAAGCGUAAUAGCUCACUGGUCGAGUCGGCCUGCGCGGAAGAUGUAACGGGGCUAAACCAUGCACCGAAGCUGCGGCAGCGACACUGUGUGUUGUUGGGUAGGGGAGCGUUCUGUAAGCCUGUGAAGGUGUGUCGUGAGGCAUGCUGGAGGUAUCAGAAGUGCGAAUGCUGACAUAAGUAACGAUAAAGCGGGUGAAAAGCCCGCUCGCCGGAAGACCAAGGGUUCCUGUCCAACGUUAAUCGGGGCAGGGUGAGUCGACCCCUAAGGCGAGGCCGAAAGGCGUAGUCGAUGGGAAACGGGUUAAUAUUCCCGUACUUGGUGUUACUGCGAAGGGGGACGGAGAAGGCUAUGUUGGCCGGGCGACGGUUGUCCCGGUUUAAGCGUGUAGGUGUGUGUUCGAGUAAAUCCGGUUCACUUUAACACUGAGGCGUGACGACGAGGCACUACGGUGCUGAAGCAACAAAUGCCCUGCUUCCAGGAAAAGCCUCUAAGCAUCAGGUAACAUCAAAUCGUACCCCAAACCGACACAGGUGGUCAGGUAGAGAAUACCAAGGCGCUUGAGAGAACUCGGGUGAAGGAACUAGGCAAAAUGGUGCCGUAACUUCGGGAGAAGGCACGCUGACACGUAGGUGAAGUGAUUUACUCAUGGAGCUGAAGUCAGUCGAAGAUACCAGCUGGCUGCAACUGUUUAUUAAAAACACAGCACUGUGCAAACACGAAAGUGGACGUAUACGGUGUGACGCCUGCCCGGUGCCGGAAGGUUAAUUGAUGGGGUCAGCGCAAGCGAAGCUCCUGAUCGAAGCCCCGGUAAACGGCGGCCGUAACUAUAACGGUCCUAAGGUAGCGAAAUUCCUUGUCGGGUAAGUUCCGACCUGCACGAAUGGCGUAAUGAUGGCGGGCUGUCUCCACCCGAGACUCAGUGAAAUUGAACUCGCUGUGAAGAUGCAGUGUACCCGCGGCAAGACGGAAAGACCCCGUGAACCUUUACUAUAGCUUGACACUGAACAUUGAGCCUUGAUGUGUAGGAUAGGUGGGAGGCUUUGAAGUGUGGACGCCAGUCUGCAUGGAGCCGACCUUGAAAUACCACCCUUUAAUGUUUGAUGUUCUAACGUGGACCCGUUACCCGGGUUGCGGACAGUGUCUGGUGGGUAGUUUGACUGGGGCGGUCUCCUCCUAAAGAGUAACGGAGGAGCACGAAGGUUGGCUAAUCUCGGUCGGACAUCAGGAGGUUAGUGCAAUGGCAUAAGCCAGCUUGACUGCGAGCGUGACGGCGCGAGCAGGUGCGAAAGCAGGUCAUAGUGAUCCGGUGGUUCUGAAUGGAAGGGCCAUCGCUCAACGGAUAAAAGGUACUCCGGGGAUAACAGGCUGAUACCGCCCAAGAGUUCAUAUCGACGGCGGUGUUUGGCACCUCGAUGUCGGCUCAUCACAUCCUGGGGCUGAAGUAGGUCCCAAGGGUAUGGCUGUUCGCCAUUUAAAGUGGUACGCGAGCUGGGUUUAGAACGUCGUGAGACAGUUCGGUCCCUAUCUGCCGUGGGCGCUGGAGAACUGAGGGGGGCUGCUCCUAGUACGAGAGGACCGGAGUGGACGCAUCACUGGUGUUCGGGUUGUCAUGCCAAUGGCACUGCCCGGUAGCUAAAUGCGGAAGAGAUAAGUGCUGAAAGCAUCUAAGCACGAAACUUGCCCCGAGAUGAGUUCUCCCUGAGACUUAGAGUCUCCUGAAGGAACGUUGAAGACGACGACGUUGAUAGGCCGGGUGUGUAAGCGCAGCGAUGCGUUGAGCUAACCGGUACUAAUGAACCGUGAGGCUUAACCUU
Molecule: ribosomal RNA, 3040 nt
Filed under: Salmonella enterica
Lineage: Bacteria; Pseudomonadati; Pseudomonadota; Gammaproteobacteria; Enterobacterales; Enterobacteriaceae
Description: 23S ribosomal RNA
Rfam family: Bacterial large subunit ribosomal RNA
Source: RNAcentral